CCUACGGGAGUCAGCAGUGAGGACUAUUGGUCAAUGGACGAGAGUCUGAACCAGCCAAGUAGCGUGAAGGAUGACUGCCCUAUGGGUUGUAAACUUCUUUUAUCUGGGAAUAAAAUGUUCCACGUGUGGGAUUUUGUAUGUACCAUAUGACUAAGGAUCGGCUAACUCCGUGCCAAUAGCCGCGGUAAUACUGAGGAUCCGAGCGUUAUCCGGAUUUAUUGGGUUUAAAGGGAGAGUAGGUGGAUUGUUAAGUCAGUUGUGAAAGUUUGCGGCUCAACCGUAAAAUUGCAGUUGACACUGGCAGUCUUGAGUACAGUAGAGGUGGGCGGAAUUCGUGGUGUAGCGGUGAAAUGCUUAGAGAUCACGAAGAACUCCGAUUGCGAAGGCAGUUCACUGGACUGCAACUGACACUGAGGCUCGAAAGUGUGGGUAUCAAACAGGAUUAGAUACCCCAGUAGUC
Molecule: ribosomal RNA, 460 nt
Filed under: uncultured bacterium
Lineage: Bacteria
Description: partial 16S ribosomal RNA
Rfam family: Bacterial small subunit ribosomal RNA
Source: RNAcentral